RNAcentral lists this ribosomal RNA (899 nucleotides) under uncultured bacterium. RNAcentral's name for it is "bacterial SSU rRNA". It matches the Rfam family "Bacterial small subunit ribosomal RNA", at positions 8 to 941 of the family's 1533-position model. The record is from RNAcentral.
AGAGUUUGAUCAUGGCUCAGAAUCAACGCUGGCGGCGCGCUUAACACAUGCAAGUCGAACGGGAAAGUGGGCAACCAUGAGUACAGUGGCGUACGGGUGAGUAACACGUGGGUAAUCUACCUCUUAGUGGGGAAUAACCUUGGGAAACCGAGGCUAAUACCGCAUAAGCUCGAGAGAGGAAAGCAGCAAUGCGCUGAGAGAGGAGCCCGCGGCCGAUUAGCUAGUUGGCAGGGUAAAAGCCUACCAAGGCAGAGAUCGGUAGCCGGCCUGAGAGGGCACACGGCCACACUGGCACUGAAACACGGGCCAGACUCCUACGGGAGGCAGCAGUGGGGAAUCUUGCACAAUGGGGGCAACCCUGAUGCAGCGACGCCGCGUGAGCGAUGAAGCCCUUCGGGGUGUAAAGCUCUUUCGGCAGGGAAGAUUAUGACGGUACCUGCAGAAGCAGCUGCGGCUAACUACGUGCCAGCAGCCGCGGUAAUACGUAGGCAGCGAGCGUUGUUCGGAGUUACUGGGCGUAAAGGGUGUGUAGGCGGCCUUCUAAGUUUGGUGUGAAAUCUCCCGGCUUAACCGGGAGGGUGCGCCGAAUACUGAAGGGCUAGAGUGCGGGAGAGGAGAGUGGAAUUCCUGGUGUAGCGGUGAAAUGCGUAGAUAUCAGGAGGAACACCGGUGGUGUAGACGGCUCUCUGGACCGUAACUGACGCUGAGACACGAAAGCGUGGGUAGCAAACAGGAUUAGAUACCCUGGUAGUCCACGCCCUAAACGAUGCAUAUUUGGUGUGGGUCAUUCAGUUGAUCCGUGCCGGAGCUAACGCGUUAAAUAUGCCGCCUGGGGAGUACAGUCGCAAGGCUGAAACUCAAAGGAAUUGACGGGGGCCCCGCACAAGCGGUGGAGCAUG